UCAGAGAAGAAUACAGCUCAGUAUACCUGUAUACCCUAUACAUCAUGUAUUAUAUAGUUCAAUUACUAUGUAUUUUGUCUCUCUUCUUUUUAACCCAGGCUAAUGUUCAUCGCCACACUGUUGGUUCACUGGAAGGAAUUAUCGAUUCUCUGUCGUCUACUGUGGAAGAAUUAACAGAUCUGGCUAAACAGAGAAUUACUACAUUAGAAGUUAAUUCAAAGAAGAGGCGAUUUUGGAGACCCGGUUGAGGACUUUUACCAAACGUGGACAAGUUACAAAUCUGGAUUUGGAAAUCUAACUAGAGAAUUUUGGUUAGGAAAUGACAUCAUAUUCGCUUUAACCAAUCAAAACAAUAUGAUACUUCGAAUCGAUUUAGAAGAUAUGGAAGGU
Limulus polyphemus (Atlantic horseshoe crab) is the source of this 390-nucleotide long non-coding RNA. RefSeq lists it as uncharacterized. The record is from RefSeq and is a predicted model, not a curated record. The transcript has 3 exons. NCBI's taxonomy places the organism in Eukaryota, Metazoa, Arthropoda, Merostomata, Xiphosura, Limulidae.